GACAGAGGGGGCUAGCGUUGUUCGGAAUCACUGGGCGUAAAGGGCGCGUAGGCGGCAUUGUAAGUCAGAGGUGAAAGCCUGGAGCUUAACUCCAGAACUGCCUUUGAUACUGCUUUGCUUGAGGCCGAGAGAGGAUAGUGGAAUUCCUAGUGUAGAAGUGAAAUUCGUAGAUAUUAGGAGGAACACCAGUUGCGAAGGCGACUAUCUGGCUCGGAUCUGACGCUGAGGCGCGAAAGCGUGGGGAGCAAACAGG
RNAcentral lists this ribosomal RNA (253 nucleotides) under uncultured bacterium. Its description in RNAcentral is "partial 16S ribosomal RNA". It matches the Rfam family "Bacterial small subunit ribosomal RNA", at positions 524 to 776 of the family's 1533-position model. The record is from RNAcentral.